UGCUCGUCGUUCCCUCUCCAAUUCCGCCUCCUCCCUGCACCCCGCUUUGAACUCCUUCAUGGGCUGGGAUCGGAUUUAUCGAGCCUGGUGAGAAUGGCUGAGGUGUGGCUGUCAGAGGGUGUGCCCCUGCGGUUCCUGUCCGAGUAGUGUUCACGCAUGCCCGGUGGUGGCCGUUGGGGUCACGGCCCCUCUACCCGCCCCAGGCACGCGGGAAUGGGACAUGAGCUAGUCACUGCCCUUGUGCCUUUCCUCCUCUCUCCGCUGCCCGGGUCAACCAGCCGACAGUGGCGGAACGGCGGGCAGGUCGACGGAGUUAGAUGGCGGCAAAGGUGGGCCGGCUCGGUGUGAUAAGGUUCCAACUGGGUCUGAUCGCUUCUGUCCGCGAGCGCCGGGUCCACCAGAUGUAGGCGGCCAGCGUUGGACUUGACGGUCAACUUGGGAUUUCUAAGGAAAAUGGUGUCUCGUUCUGUCGCCCAGGCUGUGGCAUGGUCUUGGCUGGCUGCAAUCUCCGCCUCUCUGGUUCCAGCGAUUCUCCUGCCUCAGCCUCCCAAGUAGCUGAAAUUACAGAACCCAGAGUUGAUCUCUGCACCACGCCAUCACUGCCGGGGGUGAGGAAAUUCUGGCACCAGUGACUCAGCACUGUUUUUUUCUCUCUCUUUAGUGCCUCUUUCAGUGAUAUGAAGUUAAAACCAGGAUGGAUGAUUGGUGGAGCCUUCUUUCUGCCAUCUUGCUUUACCCUCACACCCAAGAAUCAGAAUGCAGAACUUUUAAUAAGAAAAGCUUUCAGAACUCAGGAAGGACCAGGAAGAUAUUCUGGUUCUCCAUGCUUAACAUUGGACUGUUUCUUCAACUUAGGUGCAUAGCACUGACUAAUCAGGGAUUAUCACAGAUAAUUUGACUUGGACUAUGGAGUUCAUUCAAAUACUUUAGACAAUUUAAGUGCUGGCUGAUUUGGCAGGAAAAUCUGGCAAAGUAUUUUCUUGGUAUUCAAUUGAUUUUUAUUCUGCUUAGGUUAGCAGUUUUAUAAAACAGUCAGUCUCUUCAUUAAAUUUCUGGGAAUUCUUACCUAGUUCAAAUGAUAAUGAUUCUAAAGUUCUCAAAAAUCUGUAUUCAAGAAUGCUUCUCAGGACCUUUUCCAUCCUUUCAUGAAACUCCUUAAAGAUACAAUAUUCUAGGAUUUUGCAAGCUUGUAAAUUUUUAGAAAUCGACUCAGAAUUAAGCAAUUUACAGUGGACAUGACUUUAAAUUGUCAUAGUUAGACACAAUUGACAAGAAAAUUUUAUUUACAGGUGUGAGCCACUGCGACUGGCCUCUGAAGUUAAUUUAAUAAAACUUCAUAAAUAAAUGUAUCAAAUGUGUCAUCUUUUCAUCCCAGAUUUUUGUGAAUCUAUGCCUUGCAUUUUCCCCCAACUUUCUAUAUUUAUGCCUGUAAUCCCAGCACUUUGGGAGGCCGAGGUGGGCGGAUCACGAGGUCAGGAGAUCGAGACCAUCCUGGCUAACACGGUGAAACCCUAUCUUUACUAAAAAUACAAAAAAUUAACCAGGCAUGGUGGUGGGUGCCUGUAGUCCCAGCUACUCGGGAGGCUGAGGCAGGAGAAUGGCAUGAACCUGGGAGGCACAGCUUGCCGUGAGCCGAGAUUGCGCCACUGCGCUCCAGCCUGGGCGACAGAGCGAGACUCCAUCUCAAAAAAAAAAAAAAAAAAAAGAAAAAAAGAAGAAAAGCAUGUCUUGCUUUUUA
RNAcentral lists this long non-coding RNA (1738 nucleotides) under Pongo abelii (Sumatran orangutan). RNAcentral's name for it is "lincRNA". Lineage: Eukaryota; Metazoa; Chordata; Mammalia; Primates; Hominidae. The record is from RNAcentral.